This 273-nucleotide ribosomal RNA is filed under the name uncultured bacterium. Its description in RNAcentral is "partial 16S ribosomal RNA". It matches the Rfam family "Bacterial small subunit ribosomal RNA", at positions 524 to 798 of the family's 1533-position model. The record is from RNAcentral.
UACAGAGGGUGCAAGCGUUAAUCGGAAUUACUGGGCGUAAAGCGCGCGUAGGUGGUUCGUUAAGUUGGAUGUGAAAUCCCGGGCUCAACCUGGGAACUGCAUUCAAAACUGACGAGCUAGAGUAUGGUAGAGGGUGGUGGAAUUUCCUGUGUAGCGGUGAAAUGCGUAGAUAUAGGAAGGAACACCAGUGGCGAAGGCGACCACCUGGACGUGAUACUGACCACUGAGGUGCGAAAGCGUGGGAGCAAACAGGAUAGAUACCGUGUAGUCAGA